UGGACAUGGGCGAAGCCUGACCGCAAUGCCGCGUGAGUGAUGAAGGCCUUAGGGUUGUAAAGCUCUUUUACCCGGGAUGAUAAUGACAGUACCGGGAGAAUAAGCUCCGGCUAACUCCGUGCCAGCAGCCGCGGUAAUACGGAGGGAGCUAGCGUUGUUCGGAAUUACUGGGCGUAAAGCGCGCGUAGGCGGUUUUUUAAGUCAGAGGUGAAAGCCCAGUGCUCAACACUGGAACUGCCUUUGAAACUGGAAAACUUGAAUCUUGGAGAGGUCAGUGGAAUUCCGAGUGUAGAGGUGAAAUUCGUAGAUAUUCGGAAGAACACCAGUGGCGAAGGCGACUGACUGGACAAGUAUUGACGCUGAGGUGCGAAA
RNAcentral lists this ribosomal RNA (372 nucleotides) under uncultured bacterium. Its description in RNAcentral is "bacterial SSU rRNA". It matches the Rfam family "Bacterial small subunit ribosomal RNA", at positions 366 to 758 of the family's 1533-position model. The record is from RNAcentral.